UUUUCUGUACAGGUAUCCCAUUUUAGUGUUGUAGCUGGGAGAGGGAUACACGAAAGAGAAAUGGCUACUAGUAUAUGUAAGAAGAUUUUCUCUCCUGAGGUUGCAUUACAACUGAAUUGAACAGGGACAGAGAUAAAAAAAGGAAUCAAGUCACUAAAGUGUGAUGCAUGUGGCAAACAAUAUAAAAGAAAUUUUUCGAGAUCAAAAGUCACAGGCUUCAUAAGUACGUGGCUUCGAAGUAAUUCAAAGAGGAGAGCCAUAAAUAAUGUUGAUUUGCCAAGAUAAUAAAAAUUUUUCAAAGGUCGAUUACUUCCCCUGUAGUUUUACAGGUGACAAGAGGUAACAACGAAAGCAGGACUAUAUACACGAGUGGUUAUAACCAAGAUGAGUCGAUAUUCGCACGGCUAUCCGUAAAUGCAGCGCAGAAGCAUUUUAUUUUAUUUUGUAUCGCAAAAGUUCGUAAAAAAAAUUGAAAUAGAUUAUUCCCAAUUAUGUUUGACAUGUGAGAAUGCUUAUCAAUUAACUAUCGACGGUUAAAUGCCAUAAAAAUUUCAACCAAUUUGUAACAAAUCAGUAUUAAAAUACAUAAUAUUAUGUAUUA
Molecule: long non-coding RNA, 601 nt
Organism: Temnothorax curvispinosus
Lineage: Eukaryota; Metazoa; Arthropoda; Insecta; Hymenoptera; Formicidae
Exons: 3
Source: RefSeq, a predicted model, not a curated record